Molecule: ribosomal RNA, 421 nt
Filed under: uncultured bacterium
Lineage: Bacteria
Description: bacterial SSU rRNA
Rfam family: Bacterial small subunit ribosomal RNA
Source: RNAcentral
GGAAUCUUCCGCAAUGGACGAAAGUCUGACGGAGCAACGCCGCGUGAGUGAUGAAGGUUUUCGGAUCGUAAAACUCUGUUGUUAGGGAAGAACAAGUACAAGAGUAACUGCUUGCACCUUGACGGUACCUAACCAGAAAGCCACGGCUAACUACGUGCCAGCAGCCGCGGUAAUACGUAGGUGGCAAGCGUUGUCCGGAAUUAUUGGGCGUAAAGCGCGCGCAGGCGGUCCUUUAAGUCUGAUGUGAAAGCCCACGGCUCAACCGUGGAGGGCCAUUGGAAACUGGGAGACUUGAGUGCAGAAGAGGAGAGUGGAAUUCCACGUGUAGCGGUGAAAUGCGUAGAGAUGUGGAGGAACACCAGUGGCGAAGGCGACUCUCUGGUCUGUAACUGACGCUGAGGCGCGAAAGCGUGGGGAGCAA